This 245-nucleotide ribosomal RNA is filed under the name uncultured bacterium. RNAcentral describes it as "partial 16S ribosomal RNA". It matches the Rfam family "Bacterial small subunit ribosomal RNA", at positions 9 to 239 of the family's 1533-position model. The record is from RNAcentral.
GUAGUUUGAUCCUGGCUCAGGAUGAACGCUAGCGACAGGCCUAACACAUGCAAGUCGAGGGGCAGCGGAGAGGUAGCAAUACCUUUGCCGGCGACCGGCGCACGGGUGAGUAACACGUAUGCAAUCCACCUGUAACAGGGGGGAUAACCCGGAGAAAUCCGGGACUAAUACCCCAGUAAUAUGGGCGCUCCGCAUGGAGAGCCCAUUAAAGAGAGCAAUUUUGGUUACAGACGAGCAUGCGCUCC